GCUGUGAGAAAGUAAAAUUAAAAAUAGCAGUCAGGUCAAGGUAAGUGCAAAUGUAUCAGGAAAAGCCUGGAGCAACCAAAAGUUGUAUAGGAAUCAGGAAACGUGGCAAAUACGUCAUAAGAACCAGCAUUCAGGCUAAAUUCACGUCAUAAUUUCGGGCUUCUUCUAUCUUUCAGUUUUCAAGGAGCGAAGUUAAAGUUGUAUUUCAUUAGAACACGUUACAGCUCUAAAAAGUUUUUGAAACUGUGAAAUCUCACCAGAACACAUCACCAGAACACAUCACCAGAACACAUCAGACAGCAUCCAAAUCGCAUCCCGUUGAUAAGAUUUCCGGAAGAAUCUUUGAAAGCUACUAUG
RNAcentral lists this long non-coding RNA (357 nucleotides) under Physcomitrium patens. RNAcentral's name for it is "long non-coding RNA (PPAT_LNC010302)". The record is from RNAcentral. Lineage: Eukaryota; Viridiplantae; Streptophyta; Bryopsida; Funariales; Funariaceae.